Molecule: RNA transcript, 1759 nt
Organism: Harmonia axyridis
Lineage: Eukaryota; Metazoa; Arthropoda; Insecta; Coleoptera; Coccinellidae
Exons: 4
Source: RefSeq, a predicted model, not a curated record
UAAGGCAAAUUGAUGAAUUGACCAUAUUCAGCGUCGCCAUAUUGAAUUGCGACAAUACCAACUACCCAGGGUUCCCAACGGAGAAAUAUUGAGUUUACUAGAAAAAUACCGUACCGAUUAUCAGUAUGAAAAAUUGAACUGAAGAUAAAAUCCAGGAAAUAUGGGUAGAUAUCAAUAUAGUGGAGGCAGUCGUUGUUGUGUCAGUAAUUGUUCAGCAAGAAAUAGAUGUAAAAAUGAAAAAACUUACACCAAAAUAUUCUCUACAAAAUGUAAUGGCAAAAUACUAAAAUUCUGUCUGAAACAUUUCCAAGAUUACCAGGCUCUAAAAAAAGAAGAGGUCAAUUCAUCCAAUGAUUCGACCAAUGCUAGCUACAACGUUGGAGGUAAAUCCGUAGAAAACUCUUUUCAAUAAGUACUUUUGACAUAUUGUCACCCCCAGUAAAACAAUUGUAGCACCAAUUAUAAGGAAUGAAAUAUGGAAUGUCUACUUGUCAGUGUAGAAUAGAGAUAAUUUUUCAGUUCAUAGUAUCCAUCCUUGUACUCUAAUGAGGGACUUUGUGAAAAUCAUAGACUGUCUAUUCGACAAAUUAUUUUUCAGAAUUCCAAGCACAAAUUAAACUGUCAAUGAAGAAAUCUGUCGACUUCGACCACAAUUAUUAUUUCCAACAAAAUGACUUAAACAAGUUACAAAAUCUGCUGAACUAUGUUCACCACCUUGAAAUGAAGAUCGAGGAACAUAAGAUGAAACAUUCUACCAACUCCAUUCAGUCUUCAAUCAAUGAUCCCCACUUUCUAAGCUUCUACACAGAGCUUCUACACAGGAUUCAGUGAUGUCAUUACCUACAAGAUUUUUACAAGCAUAAUCAUCAAGCAUGCACUGGCAUACAGAAAAAAGUACUUGGGCAAGGACAACAGUAAUCUGGGAAUGGACUAUGAAAAUCAGAUAUUCAUAGUUUUAGUAAGGCUUCGUCUUGGUCUCUUAGAAGAAGAUAUCGCAUAUAGAUAUGAUAUUUCCCAGUCCACAGUCUCCAGAAUGUUUAGGUUUUGGAUAAAUGUGAUGUAUUCAUAUUUCAUACAGAUACCUAUUUGGCCUUCGAGAGAAAUCGUGAAAAAGUAUAUGCCAGAAUGUUUCAUCAGUAAAUAUCCUAGUACAAGAAUUAUUCUGGAUGGAACUGAGAUUUUUAUUGAAAAACCUUCAGAUUAUACAGUGCAGAGUAGCACAUAUUCUGUGUAUAAGGCACAUAAUACCGCCAGGGGCAUAAUUGGAAUAACACCUAAUGGAUUUGUGUUUCAUAUCAGAACUCUACCCGGGUAGAACUUCUGAGAGAGAAAUAAUUUUAAAUAGUGGCUUACUGGAAAAGCUGGAACCAGGGGACUCAGUAAUGGCUGAUAAGGGGUUCACAAUUUCCAAAGAACUUGCAGAUAUUGAUGUUGAUUUGAAUAUACCACCAUUUUCAUAUGGCAAUAAUCAACAAUUCACUGACGCAGAUGAAACUCUGACUAGGGAUAUUGCAAGUGUUCGUGUUCAUGUUGAGAGAAUUAUAAGAAAUGUGAAAUUAAACAGAAUAUUGCGCUGUAGCAUUCCAAAUACUAUGGCUGACCAAUUGAACCAAAUUUGGGUGGUGUGUUGCCAUCUGACAAAUUUUAGAAAAAAACCCCUGUUGGAUAUAAAAAUCAAGAAAAAAUAGAAGAACAGGAGAUUAUAAGUUCAUUUCAGAUGUAUAUUAUUUGUAUUUUUGUUAUAAAAUAUUUAUGAAAA